CUGGCUCAGGACGAACGCUGGCGGCGUGCUUAACACAUGCAAGUCGAGCGGUAAGGCCCUUCGGGGUACACGAGCGGCGAACGGGUGAGUAACACGUGGGUGAUCUGCCUCGCACUUCGGGAUAAGCCUGGGAAACUGGGUCUAAUACCGGAUAUGACCAGGGACUGCAUGGUUUUUGGUGGAAAGAUUUAUCGGUGCGAGAUGGGCCCGCGGCCUAUCAGCUUGUUGGUGGGGUAAUGGCCUACCAAGGCGACGACGGGUAGCCGGCCUGAGAGGGCGACCGGCCACACUGGGACUGAGACACGGCCCAGACUCCUACGGGAGGCAGCAGUGGGGAAUAUUGCACAAUGGGCGAAAGCCUGAUGCAGCGACGCCGCGUGAGGGAUGACGGCCUUCGGGUUGUAAACCUCUUUCGACAGGGACGAAGCGCAAGUGACGGUACCUGUAGAAGAAGCACCGGCCAACUACGUGCCAGCAGCCGCGGUAAUACGUAGGGUGCGAGCGUUGUCCGGAAUUACUGGGCGUAAAGAGCUUGUAGGCGGUUUGUCGCGUCGUCUGUGAAAACUCACAGCUCAACUGUGAGCUUGCAGGCGAUACGGGCAGACUUGAGUACUGCAGGGGAGACUGGAAUUCCUGGUGUAGCGGUGAAAUGCGCAGAUAUCAGGAGGAACACCGGUGGCGAAGGCGGGUCUCUGGGCAGUAACUGACGCUGAGAAGCGAAAGCGUGGGUUUGCGAACAGGAUUAGAUACCCUGGUAGUCCACGCCGUA
This 769-nucleotide ribosomal RNA is filed under the name Nocardia sp. RK2_63. Its description in RNAcentral is "bacterial SSU rRNA". It matches the Rfam family "Bacterial small subunit ribosomal RNA", at positions 19 to 804 of the family's 1533-position model. The record is from RNAcentral. Lineage: Bacteria; Bacillati; Actinomycetota; Actinomycetes; Mycobacteriales; Nocardiaceae.